GUCGAACGGUAGAGGGGGCAACCCCUCGAGAGUGGCGAACGGGUGAGUAAUAUAUCGGAACGUGCCCAGUCGUGGGGGAUAACGUAGCGAAAGUUACGCUAAUACCGCAUACGAUCUAAGGAUGAAAGCGGGGGAUCGCAAGACCUCGCGCGAUUGGAGCGGCCGAUAUCAGAUUAGGUAGUUGGUGGGGUAAAGGCUCACCAAGCCAACGAUCUGUAGCUGGUCUGAGAGGACGACCAGCCACACUGGAACUGAGACACGGUCCAGACUCCUACGGGAGGCAGCAGUGGGGAAUUUUGGACAAUGGACGCAAGUCUGAUCCAGCCAUUCCGCGUGCAGGAUGAAGGCCCUCGGGUUGUAAACUGCUUUUGUACGGAACGAAAAGGUUUCUAUUAAUACUAGGAGCUCAUGACGGUACCGUAAGAAUAAACACCGGCUAACUACGUGCCAGCAGCCGCGGUAAUACGUAGGGUGCAAGCGUUAAUCGGAAUUACUGGGCGUAAAGCGUGCGCAGGCGGUUAUGUAAGACAGAGGUGAAAUCCCCGGGCUCAACCUGGGAACUGCCUUUGUGACUGCAUAGCUAGAGUACGGUAGAGGGGGAUGGAAUUCCGCGUGUAGCAGUGAAAUGCGUAGAUAUGCGGAGGAACACCGAUGGCGAAGGCAAUCCCCUGGACCUGUACUGACGCUCAUGCACGAAAGCGUGGGGAGCAAACAGGAUUAGAUACCCUGGUAGUCCACGCCCUAAACGAU
This 750-nucleotide ribosomal RNA is filed under the name uncultured bacterium. RNAcentral describes it as "bacterial SSU rRNA". It matches the Rfam family "Bacterial small subunit ribosomal RNA", at positions 61 to 810 of the family's 1533-position model. The record is from RNAcentral.